UAAUUAUUGUCCUUGUAAUUGGAGCUGUGGGUUUAUUUGCUCUCUUCUGUCGGAAACAUCCCCAUCCUUUUCGCAGGAUCACCACUGGUAACAAGGAAACAGGUAGCAAAAGUGCAGCGACAAAUGAUCCCGAGGAAAACAUUUCAAAAGCAACGAUUGCUGGUAGUAAUAGUGCAACAACAACUGAUCCCGGGGAAAGAAUUCCAAUGGUGAAAACAACAACAAU
Long non-coding RNA from Strongylocentrotus purpuratus (purple sea urchin), 226 nucleotides. RefSeq lists it as uncharacterized. The transcript is spliced from 3 exons. NCBI's taxonomy places the organism in Eukaryota, Metazoa, Echinodermata, Echinoidea, Camarodonta, Strongylocentrotidae. The record is from RefSeq and is a predicted model, not a curated record.